CAGACUUGCACUUGGUGUUCAUCAGGGUCUCGUACCCUGUGUACUUCAUCAAGUUCAGGCCAGCAUCAGUUUGAGUGGUUAGAUAAAGGCCUCUGUCACGUACCUUCUCUCGGGAAGGCCUUAUAGGGGAGGCGUCAUGCAACCAGUCUGGACUGAGGUCCGCGCAUCUGCUAGGAUGCUGGCGUAAUGGCUGUAAGCGG
Molecule: ribosomal RNA, 200 nt
Filed under: Pleosporales sp.
Lineage: Eukaryota; Fungi; Ascomycota; Dothideomycetes; Pleosporales
Description: partial large subunit ribosomal RNA
Source: RNAcentral